GACAGAGGGUGCAAACGUUGUUCGGAAUUACUGGGCGUAAAGCGCGUGUAGGCGGCCUCGCAAGUCGGGUGUGAAAGCCCUGGGCUCAACCCAGGAAGUGCACUCGAUACUGCAAGGCUUGAGUUCCGGAGAGGAAAGCGGAAUUCUCGGUGUAGAGGUGAAAUUCGUAGAUAUCGGGAGGAACACCGGUGGCGAAGGCGGCGACCUGGGUGGAUACUGACGCUGAGGUGCGAAAGCGUGGGGAGCAAACAGG
RNAcentral lists this ribosomal RNA (253 nucleotides) under uncultured bacterium. Its description in RNAcentral is "partial 16S ribosomal RNA". It matches the Rfam family "Bacterial small subunit ribosomal RNA", at positions 524 to 776 of the family's 1533-position model. The record is from RNAcentral.